This 200-nucleotide unclassified non-coding RNA is filed under the name soil metagenome. RNAcentral describes it as "partial contains internal transcribed spacer 2 and large subunit ribosomal RNA". The record is from RNAcentral.
UCAGGUCCUUGGGCUUGCUUGCGGUUUGUUACGAACACACGCUUGCCUCAAAUGCAUUAGCUGGAUUUCAGUAGAGUUGUUAAGUAACAUUGAAAACUCUCGUAAGAUGAAGUCUGCUUCUAACCCGACGUGCCCGUAAAAACGGCACUCAUAUUCAUUUCUUUGGCCUCAAAUCAGGUAGGACUACCCGCUGAACUUAA